This is a long non-coding RNA of Gopherus flavomarginatus (Mexican gopher tortoise), 2715 nucleotides long. RefSeq lists it as uncharacterized. Lineage: Eukaryota; Metazoa; Chordata; Testudines; Testudinidae. The record is from RefSeq and is a predicted model, not a curated record. The transcript is spliced from 4 exons.
CGAAGCAAAGCGUCUCACUGAGCAUUUACGUGUCUACAGCUUUGCACAAGCUGCCAUGCCUCCACAACAUGGCUGUGUGGACUAAGCAGGAAGCGUAGCCAGGACACACACACACGCGCAUGCGUGUGCGCGCGCGCCAGAUAUCUUCAGAAACAGAAAUCUGCUCUACCCCCUGGAAGACAGCGUACAUGGGGAGGAGACAUGCGUCCUUUCUGCUCCCAUCCCCAGCUGCUCGCCAUGCUGGGCUGGCACAUGCCAGCACAGAACUAAUGCAAAGAUUAAGGUAAUGGGGGCUGAGUUUAACCCAUUUACCAGGAGCAUUAGCUUACUUGGCGAUUAGCAGUGUAGGGAUCAUGCUAAAUGGCUUAGCUAUUCCCAGCUCCCUCUCCUCUGGCAGGUCCUGAAGAGUUAGUGUGGAGAGGUAUCCAGCAGUGAUAACAGGACAUUAGCAAAGCUUACCUCUCUAAGUUGUCCAGUUCCACAUCCUUUCCCAUGUUUAGUGCUCUAUGUGCCAGUGCAAUCACUCUGAAACCUUGGGUCGUGUAAACCUUAAGCUCCUUUAUGAAAUCAAUUGGGACUGUUUAGAGGAGAAAAGAAUAUGUGGGCAAGUCUUAUGGUUUAAGUGACUUAAAGAACAUCCAGUCUUUGGUUCUUUUCUUCUAUGGCUUAAUCUGUGCAUAUUACAUGCUCAUCAUUUACCAAUACCACGUUCUUUCUCAGCAAAUGAUCAGCUGUUUUUAAUCCAAAGGCUCUGGAGCUGAUAACUAGAUUUGAAUAUUUCAAACAACUGGACUACGAGUUUGUUUUAUGCUUUAAAAAGUAUGUAAAGUACAAGGAGGUCUUGUGGUUAGAGUAGUUCCUGUUCUAACCACAGGGCCUCCUUGCACUUUAAAUAAGGUCGAGGGAGUCUUGAACCUAGGCCUGCAGAGCAGCUAAGCAUCAAACAACCCUUUGUGCCAUCCAGCAAUAAUUAUAACCACUACCCAUGACCCGCUGUGGACACAGACCACAGGAAGUCUCAUCUCCAGGGGUCUGAGAGGUAGCAGCCUCGUGGCUCCUGUUUGGUAAAUCCAAGAGAUGACAGAGCGCUGUCUACACGGGGGGUUAGGUGCGUAUAACUGUCACUCAGGGGUGUCGAUUUUUCACACCCCCGAGUGGCACAGUUAUACCGUAUAGGUCUGUAGCACAGACCUGACCUUAGCAAAGACACAGCAUGGAGUUCCCUUCCACACAGACUGCCUGCCGCCUUGUUUCCAUCUGGUAAUGCUUCUCAAAGUGGGGACGGGAUUAGAAAAAGGAGCAGACGCCCCACGACACUCCCCUCUCUUUCCUGCCAAUCAUGUUCAGUGCAGCUCACGCGACAAAGCAUUUGUUGGACCCUGGGUGAAGGGUCCUGACCUGAGAAGUUUGGUCAGUGAGACAGCUGAACACGUGAGACUGUCCAGUUUGGCCGAUGUAUACUAUACUAUAGUAACUCUAGCUCAGGAACCAAUCCAUGCAACAAACCUUGAUGCCAACUCUACCCACAUAUCUACACCAGUGACAUCAUCACAGGACCUAACCAGAUCAGCCACACCAUCACUGGUUCAUUCACCUGCACGUCCACCAAUGCUCCAAAACAUCUGUUAGUCUAUAAGGUGCCACAAGAUUCUUUGCUGCUUUUACAGAUCCAGACUAACACGGUUACCCCUCUGAUAAUUUGAAAACUAUAACCAGGUGAUGUGAAUGCCUGUCUGAACAGGAGUCAUCCAUCUUCCACAUGGAGACCCUGAACUAUGAGUGAAUGACAGCUCGCCAUGGCUCCACACGGCAGUCCCCAAGGCAAAGGAGUACCAGAGGCAAAGCUGUAGACGUUCUGGAAACUGAUUUAAAACAGAGGGUAAUAUCUCUUAUUGGACCAAUUUCUUGUGGUGAAAGAGACACCCGGUGGCCAGAACCUGAAGAAAAGUUCUGUGUAAGAUCAAAAGCUUGUGUCUCUCAACAACAGAAGUUGCUCCAAUAAAAGAUAUUACUUCACCCGCCUUGUCUCUCUCAUAUCCUAGGACCAACACAGCUACAGGAACACUGAAUACAAAUUUAUUUGCAUGUGUAGCUCAUUUUGUUCUCCAUGUCACAUGAACAGACACUGAACUACACAGUUAACUCAAGUGAAAUAAUCAUGAGAUUAUUCAGGGCUAUUUUCCUUGUUGUGGUUUUUGAGCUUUCUGCCAAACAAAAUGUCCUGUCUGGAGAGAAUUGUGCAUGCAACCUCUAUUAGUUAAUGGCCAAGAGCCAAGUAGAGAUUGUAUUGCUAAAUACAGGAAAAUCUUACCAAAUAAUCCUUUAUUGGGUGGCAUUUGUUAAUUAAUGUUAUGUAAUGUGCAUCAGAUAUUAAUUUUCUCUCUGUCCUGUGAGAAACUUAGGGCUUGUCUACACUGGCACUGUACAUCGCUGCAGCUUUCUGGCUCACUCUGUCACUCAUCAUGAUACAAUUAUCUCCUCUGUGCCGAAGUACCUGAGAUGUUGGCAACCACUGCUAAAGUCUGGGAUGUUGAUAUAAUGCAUAUGCUGAUCCCCUGCGAAAGAUGAUGGGCAGCUAAUCUCUCCUCAAAUGUAUUUGAGCCCAAUGGAAUAUGCACAGUGCAAUGUGGGUUUUAAAUGAUUUUUUAUAGCCAUGGCAUGAACAAUAAACAGCUGAUUUUGGCUAUAAUCAACACCUUUUGCAAUUACACACCA